GUGUCCGUAGCUCAGCUGGAUAGAGCGUUUCCCUCCGAAGGAAAAGGUCGUUGGUUCAAAUCCAAUCGGACACACCA
Molecule: transfer RNA, 77 nt
Filed under: Alphaproteobacteria bacterium
Lineage: Bacteria; Pseudomonadati; Pseudomonadota; Alphaproteobacteria
Description: tRNA-Arg
Rfam family: tRNA
About the family: Transfer RNA (tRNA) molecules are approximately 80 nucleotides in length. Their secondary structure includes four short double-helical elements and three loops (D, anti-codon, and T loops).
Source: RNAcentral